This is a non-coding RNA of Stegodyphus mimosarum, 73 nucleotides long. The record is from Rfam. NCBI's taxonomy places the organism in Eukaryota, Metazoa, Arthropoda, Arachnida, Araneae, Eresidae.
GCCUUUGUGGUGUAGUGGUCAGCACGCUCGACGCGUAACCAAGCGGUCUGAGGUUUGAUUCCCGGCGAAGGCG